GCCCUCGUAGCUCAGCGGAUAGAGCACUUGCUUGCGGAGCAAGGGGUCGAGCGUUCAAAUCGCUCCGAGGGCG
Molecule: transfer RNA, 73 nt
Filed under: Chloroflexi bacterium RBG_19FT_COMBO_62_14
Lineage: Bacteria; Bacillati; Chloroflexota
Also listed under: 1 other name
Description: tRNA-Arg
Rfam family: tRNA
About the family: Transfer RNA (tRNA) molecules are approximately 80 nucleotides in length. Their secondary structure includes four short double-helical elements and three loops (D, anti-codon, and T loops).
Source: RNAcentral